Molecule: ribosomal RNA, 507 nt
Filed under: Streptomyces sp.
Lineage: Bacteria; Bacillati; Actinomycetota; Actinomycetes; Kitasatosporales; Streptomycetaceae
Description: bacterial SSU rRNA
Rfam family: Bacterial small subunit ribosomal RNA
Source: RNAcentral
UGGAGGAAGUUGAUCCUGGCUCAGGACGAACGCUGGCGGCGUGCUUAACACAUGCAAGUCGAACGCCGAACCGCCUUCGGGCGGGGAGGAGUGGCGAACGGGUGAGUAACACGUGGGCAAUCUGCCCUGCACUCUGGGAUAACUCCGGGAAACCGGAGCUAAUACCGGAUACGACCUUCCAGGGCAUCCUGGGGGGUGGAAAGCUCCGGCGGUGCAGGAUGAGCCCGCGGCCUAUCAGCUGGUUGGUGGGGUGACGGCCCACCAAGGCGACGACGGGUAGCCGGCCUGAGAGGGCGACCGGCCACACUGGGACUGAGACACGGCCCAGACUCCUACGGGAGGCAGCAGUGGGGAAUAUUGCACAAUGGGCGCAAGCCUGAUGCAGCGACGCCGCGUGAGGGAUGACGGCCUUCGGGUUGUAAACCUCUUUCAGCAGGGAAGAAGCGCAAGUGACGGUACCUGCAGAAGAAGCACCGGCUAACUACGUGCCAGCAGCCGCGUUUAAUA